GACGAACGCUGGCGGCGUGCUUAACACAUGCAAGUCGAACGGAAAGGCCCUGCUUUUGUGGGGUGCUCGAGUGGCGAACGGGUGAGUAACACGUGAGUAACCUGCCCUUGACUUUGGGAUAACUUCAGGAAACUGGGGCUAAUACCGGAUAGGAGCUCCUGCUGCAUGGUGGGGGUUGGAAAGUUUCGGCGGUUGGGGAUGGACUCGCGGCUUAUCAGCUUGUUGGUGGGGUAGUGGCUUACCAAGGCUUUGACGGGUAGCCGGCCUGAGAGGGUGACCGGCCACAUUGGGACUGAGAUACGGCCCAGACUCCUACGGGAGGCAGCAGUGGGGAAUAUUGAAAAAUGGGCGGAAGCCUGAUGCAGCAACGCCGCGUGCGGGAUGACGGCCUUCGGGUUGUAAACCGCUUUCGCCGGUGACGAAGCGUGAGUGACGGUAAUGGGUAAAGAAGCACCGGCUAACUACGUG
RNAcentral lists this ribosomal RNA (468 nucleotides) under uncultured bacterium. Its description in RNAcentral is "partial 16S ribosomal RNA". It matches the Rfam family "Bacterial small subunit ribosomal RNA", at positions 28 to 507 of the family's 1533-position model. The record is from RNAcentral.